GUUUGCGGCUUGUCAAAAGAGUUUGUAGUUUACGGCGUGUAAGUCAUAUAAAGGCACCAGAUGGACACAUCUUGAGGGUAAAAUCUCUCUAUGCCGUGGGAACAAGACAGUAAACAGGGUAUAUUUUUAAUGAAGUACUUUCGACAGAGAUCAUGUGGCCUGAUUUAAUGCAGAUUUUAACAGUAACUUCAAUAUGGAUGAUACCAGUAGUAUUGUCUUUAGAAAUUCCUGAAUCACAAAUGGAUGAAACGUUAAGUGAUGUGGAUUAUUACGAUUUAGUAAAAGUGGCUAACGAUGGUGAUGAUCGGCCUCCAUCGAUCAAUAUACCAGAUGUCUUCAAUAACGCCUAUGCUCGAAACACAUUAAUGCAAGUUGGAUUAACAAGGGUUUAUGAUGCCUUCAGACAAAAGAAAAGUAAAUUUCCAAAUCAUCAUGAACGAAGAGUUAUCGUUGGAGGUAUUUGCUGUAAUGGAAAAAGGCAAGACCCGAAGAUGAGAGCGAGGGUUAUUCGGCGAACUAUCUUAAUGAAGCUGUUGCAGCAGUUACGCAAAGCCACUGAAGCACAAGAAGAAAUGUAUGAUCAAAUGGAAUGGGAGAACCCUUUUUUUUAAUUAAAUUAAAUGGCAGAUGAAACCGGUCGAGACUAAAAUUUAUAUUGUAAACAAAGGAUUAUUAUUAAAG
Long non-coding RNA from Patella vulgata (common limpet), 681 nucleotides. RefSeq lists it as uncharacterized. The transcript has 6 exons. Lineage: Eukaryota; Metazoa; Mollusca; Gastropoda; Patellidae. The record is from RefSeq and is a predicted model, not a curated record.